Phlebotomus papatasi is the source of this 67-nucleotide non-coding RNA. NCBI's taxonomy places the organism in Eukaryota, Metazoa, Arthropoda, Insecta, Diptera, Psychodidae. The record is from Rfam.
AUAGUGAUGAGAUUAAUUGGUCCGUGUUUAUGAAUUCAUUUGAUUUUAACCCCAAUUGCUGAUUUUU